RNAcentral lists this ribosomal RNA (183 nucleotides) under uncultured bacterium. RNAcentral describes it as "partial 16S ribosomal RNA". It matches the Rfam family "Bacterial small subunit ribosomal RNA", at positions 1317 to 1500 of the family's 1533-position model. The record is from RNAcentral.
CACAUGAAGUUGGAGUUGCUAGUAAUCGCGAAUCAGCAUGUCGCGGUGAAUACGUUCCCGGGCCUUGUACACACCGCCCGUCACACCAUGGGAGUUGGGAGCACCCGAAGCCGGUGAGUUGACCGAAAGGGACAGCCGUCGAAGGUGAGACCGAUGACUGGGGUGAAGUCGUAACAAGGUACC